This is a long non-coding RNA of Medicago truncatula (barrel medic), 1263 nucleotides long. RefSeq lists it as uncharacterized. The record is from RefSeq and is a predicted model, not a curated record. NCBI's taxonomy places the organism in Eukaryota, Viridiplantae, Streptophyta, Magnoliopsida, Fabales, Fabaceae. The transcript is spliced from 2 exons.
UUUUUCCUUUAACAUUGUCUCUCCACAAUUAUAGUUUUUUUCAUCGGAUAUACUCUACACGCAACUGCAUGUACCAUUCUCUCGAGUCAGGUAGGAUGGUAAUAGAUGAAAAAGUUCUCCUUCAAAAUAUCUAACACUGCCAUAUUUUAAGAGAUCUCUUACCAUCACAUCUAAUUGAUCUUGAGUUCUCCAUAUUUACUCUUUCAAACAAUAAUAAUACCACUCACACUAACCACCUUCCAAAAAUCCAACUCAAUCAACAUGUGUAAAGUAGCACUAACUGAAAUAGUGGAAGAAAUUUUUCAAAGCAGAGCAAUUAUUAAACCUAAAAGAGGAAGAAAUAAUUGACACAACAGUAGCCUUUGGACCCAAUAAUCAAUAGCUCUUAUUUUAUCUUUCUUUAUAUACUGCUACUUGAAGAACAAAAAGAGGGUGUGGAAAACAAAUGAGAGAUAUAAUUGUUCUAGAGAUAGAAAAUAGUGAAGGAAGAAGAGUGUGCAAGAAGUUGAUGCAAUCUCACCACCAAUAUCACUGAUUCAAGAUGUUGGAGAAUUCUAUGUCAAAGGAUGUUGUGUACCAAAACAUACAUGAUAAGCUGCAGCUGGAUUCUAUCACAAAGUUGAACAUGACUGCCAUGGAGGAAGAGUGCAAUAAAUAUCAUCCGCAAAAAGUGCACUAAUAUAUGAAUUUAUGCCACAACCCACAAGGGUCAUUGGGUAAGUUCAUCCUCAAAAGUGGACUUCCUGAUGGUAUUUGCAGUUUGGAUUUGGAACAUAUUGUACCAAAUUGCAAACACCAUUGAUCGAGGACUGGAAUUCUUGCAUAGUUGCAUUAAGGAUGUAUUUCAAAGAUUGUGCAUUUGGAUAUAAAACCUCAUGAUAAUUUUUGGGAUGACGAUUUUUGCGCAAAAAUCUAAGAUUUUGGACUAACUAAAAGAUGUCAGGGGAGUGAUAAUUUUGAUAUCAAACCCCAAAACAUUCUUUUGGAUGACGAUUUUUGCCAAAAAAAUCUAAGAUUUUGGACUAGCUAAAAUAUGUCAAGAGAAUCAUAGUAUUGUGUCUAUACUUGGCACAAUAGGAUACAUAGUACUUAAAGUAUUUAGACCAACAUAUGGUGGAGCUUCUCACAAGUCAAAUGUAUGCAGCUAUGGCAUGUUAAUUCUAUAAAUGAUAGGAGGAAGAAAGAGUUAGGAUACAUGUACUUUUAGUAUUGGACUUAUAAGGAUCUUUAACAAAGGAAUGACCUUGUGAUUUGUUUUGCAAA